Saimiri boliviensis boliviensis (Bolivian squirrel monkey) is the source of this 1320-nucleotide non-coding RNA. The record is from RefSeq and is a predicted model, not a curated record. Lineage: Eukaryota; Metazoa; Chordata; Mammalia; Primates; Cebidae.
AGCAUUAAAGAAAACCCAAUCGGGGCAGCGGGAAGCACUCCAGCCUCCUUGCAAGCUUGGGGUGCCUCAUUCUCUCCCGUGCCCCUUCUCCCAGCUGGGUCUGACCCCCGCCCCUGGCUCCUCAGUUCUGCUGCUCCCAGCUGCUCUCUCCAUCCCCCGGUGGCCUCUCUCUCUCUCUCUACCCUAUCUGCCUCAGCUUCCAGGUCUCUACUGUCCCUAGGAAGCACUGUGACCUCUGCUUUCCCCUCAAAUGCUGUGGAUCAAGCCUCCCCCAACCCCACCAUCCCCCCCCAAAGGGGGCUGCUGACCGAGAGGGCUCACUCAGCCAGUAACUAGGUCAGCUCUGCUGAGGAGAGGGGCGGCAUCGAGCUCAGGACCCACCCAGUUCUCCGGGAGACGGGGAGUCCACCCGCGGAUGGGAUGUGGAACGGGGAGCCUCUAAUGGCGCCUGCUGGUGAGGUGGGGUGCCUGUGGCCGCGCAGGAAAGGGGACCAGCUCCCACCUCGAGGCUCUGUCUGCCUCAGGGGCCCUGUCCCCCUUCCCGGCAGGUAGGCUCAAGGCUGAAGCUCAUGAGGACUCGACUCCGAAGCGGGGCUGCCUAGGAGCUGAGGGGGCCCCGCUAGGCUGUCCCCGGGCGCUGGGACGGGGAAGGGCUGCUUACUGCAGAAGGGUCUCCACCACGGCUUUCUGGUGGGCCGCCUCCUCGGGGCUGAGGUUCUCCAGCUCUUUGAGGAUGGGUGGCGUGAAGUCUUCCCCAUCGUCGUCCGUCUCGUCCUCGGAGCCCCGAGUCUCUCCCAGCCCAUUGGGCAGCUCAGCCAGCUCCCCUCGACCACCGCCGCAUGCCUCCCCCUUGUCCAGGGGGCCAUCUCCAGCCAGCAGAUAAGGAAAGCAAGGCAUUAAGAAGAUAAGGAACCUCAUCAGCUAAGGCAGAUUUAAGAUUUGAACUUGGAUCUCCAUGAUGCCAGAAUCUAAACCUUGACUAAAUAUUUGUUACUAUUACUUUUGUUGCUGUUGUUGUUCUGGGUAACUCCAACCCUCUGCUCACUGCCCUCGUCACCGCCGUGCUGAUUUCGCAGAGAGCCGGUUGUUAAAUAUUAGCCAGCCCUCCUUGAUGCUGUUCUUUCUACCUGAAACACCUCCCCGCUGCCAGUGAGCUCCAGAGACAAAAGCACCUGGGUCUGCGUUUCCCAAAGGCAAGAAUCUGGUGUCGCUUGCGUGUUAUUUGCCACGUCUGAGCACCGCUGCCUGUCGCAUUAUUUACCUAGCAGUUUUGCUCCUGUCAAUGCACGUUUAAAAAAUUAAACUUAGCGGGGAAAAGAA